AUUGAACGCUGGCGGCAGGCCUAACACAUGCAAGUCGAGCGGAUGAAGGGAGCUUGCUCCUGGAUUCAGCGGCGGACGGGUGAGUAAUGCCUAGGAAUCUGCCUGGUAGUGGGGGAUAACGUCCGGAAACGGGCGCUAAUACCGCAUACGUCCUGAGGGAGAAAGUGGGGGAUCUUCGGACCUCACGCUAUCAGAUGAGCCUAGGUCGGAUUAGCUAGUUGGUGGGGUAAAGGCCUACCAAGGCGACGAUCCGUAACUGGUCUGAGAGGAUGAUCAGUCACACUGGAACUGAGACACGGUCCAGACUCCUACGGGAGGCAGCAGUGGGGAAUAUUGGACAAUGGGCGAAAGCCUGAUCCAGCCAUGCCGCGUGUGUGAAGAAGGUCUUCGGACUGUAAGGCACUUUAAGUUGGGAGGAAGGGCAGUAAGUUAAUACCUUGCUGUUUUGACGUUACCAACAGAAUAAGCACCGGCUAACUUCGUG
This 484-nucleotide ribosomal RNA is filed under the name uncultured bacterium. Its description in RNAcentral is "partial 16S ribosomal RNA". It matches the Rfam family "Bacterial small subunit ribosomal RNA", at positions 30 to 507 of the family's 1533-position model. The record is from RNAcentral.